RNAcentral lists this ribosomal RNA (253 nucleotides) under uncultured bacterium. RNAcentral describes it as "partial 16S ribosomal RNA". It matches the Rfam family "Bacterial small subunit ribosomal RNA", at positions 524 to 776 of the family's 1533-position model. The record is from RNAcentral.
UACGUAGGGUGCAAGCGUUGUCCGGAAUUAUUGGGCGUAAAGAGCUCGUAGGCGGUCUGUCGCGUCGGCUGUGAAAUCCCGAGGCUCAACCUCGGGUCUGCAGUCGAUACGGGCAAACUAGAGUAUUGCAGGGGAGACUGGAAUUCCUGGUGUAGCGGUGAAAUGCGCAGAUAUCAGGAGGAACACCGGUGGCGAAGGCGGGACUCUGGGCCGAUACUGACGCUGAGGAGCGAAAGUGUGGGGAGCGAACAGG